AGCAAAUCUAGCCGCAGAUAAAACAAGAGAACAUGACAGGGUAAUGCUUUCAGCCAAUCAAACGUGAGGCACUUUUUUUCUAAUGACGUCACGCCAAGGUUUUCGGCGCGAGACAGAAGAUUGUAAACACGAUUAUGUGACUUAUUAAAACGGUCAUGUCUGUUGACUGGGGCGAUAUAACAGACGAGCAGUUGCUGGAAUUUGUAGUUGAGAGUGAAACUUCAGCCGCGACAGAACAUGAAGAUCACGAAGAGCGUGUCACUGAGAGGCAAACUCCGUUACAAGCCUACAGGGAGUAUAUCGAAGACGGAGAGACAAGUUAUAAUCAAGUCGACAGAUCAACACAAAACAUUCUUCACUUCAAUGCAACAGCCAACACCCCAUCGCUGGAUCUUUAGACAGUAAAUUGAAUAAUCUUAAAAGAUGAACGCGCGAGACUUGGUCGAUCAUGUUGCGAUCCGGGAAGCAUGUUCUGCAGUAGUGAAAUACUACAAGGACGCGAAGGUCAGGUGGAUCAUCUGUGGAUGGUACAAACCAGGCAUCGCGGCAGGGGCAGAAGUGGCGAAGGAACCCAAGUUCCACGUAACGCACGUUCGGCCUUAACGCGUGCUUGCCGAAGCGCCCAAGUACAAGUGUCCUGUGGCGCCAGUGGCCGCAGCAGAACGGCUUGAACUAGCGUUCCCUCGGCCGGCCGCCCAAGCAGCUGCUUGCGUCGACAAUGUCGAUGUCUAAGUAUGCAUGACAUGGAUGCACGGCCGUUAUAUAUAUAUGUGAAGAGUAGAUAAUAGAAGAUGCUAAUAAUGUGUUAUUGUGUUAUUGAGUUCUCUACUUAUAGAGCUCUGCGAGAAAUGCAGCAUACUCUACUGCUUAGAAACACACAGUAUGUAUAUGUCAACUAAUUACAUAAAAAUUGUAUACUGACCUACCUACGUUCUACCUACCAUACUACUAUCCUACUAUACUAUACCAUACCAUA
Molecule: long non-coding RNA, 976 nt
Organism: Priapulus caudatus
Lineage: Eukaryota; Metazoa; Priapulida; Priapulimorpha; Priapulimorphida; Priapulidae
Exons: 4
Source: RefSeq, a predicted model, not a curated record